AGGGUUUGAUCCUGGCUCAGAACGAACGCUAGCGGCGGGCUUAACACAUGCAAGUCGAACGAGAACGUCUCUUCGGAGAUUAUUAAAGUGGCGCACGGGUGAGUAACACGUAGGUAACGUGCCCUGGAGCGGGGGACAACGGGCCGAAAGGCCCGCUAAUACCGCAUAAGACUCCGGUCCCUUUGGGGACGGAAGUAAAAGGUGGGGAUCCUUCGGGACCUGCCACUCCAGGAUCGGCCUGCGGCCCAUUAGCUUGUUGGUGAGGUAACGGCUCACCAAGGCAAUGAUGGGUAGCUGGUCUGAGAGGACGAUCAGCCACACUGGAACUGAGACACGGUCCAGACUCCUACGGGAGGCAGCAGUGGGGAAUAUCGCGCAAUGGGCGAAAGCCUGACGCAGCUACGCCGCGUGAGUGACGAAGGCCUUCGGGUUGUAAAGCUCUGUCGGGAGGGAAGUAAAGCUCUGGGUUAAUAACCUAAAGCCAUGACGGUACCUCGCAAGAAAGCACCGGCUAACUCCGUGCCAGCAGCCGCGGUAAUACGGAGGGUGCAAGCGUUGUUCGGAAUCACUGGGCGUAAAGCGUGUGUAGGCGGUCAGGUCAGUCGGAUGUGAAAGCCCUGGGCUCAACC
RNAcentral lists this ribosomal RNA (629 nucleotides) under uncultured bacterium. Its description in RNAcentral is "bacterial SSU rRNA". It matches the Rfam family "Bacterial small subunit ribosomal RNA", at positions 8 to 614 of the family's 1533-position model. The record is from RNAcentral.